UGUCUCUGUGAGCCUUAAUAUUCUCACCUACAGCUGACUUGGAAAAACAUACAAUUCCAGGUUGAAUGAUUGUGGUAUUGGGGGUCACGCAUUGGCUGGGCACAUCAUAGGUGCGCGGGUAAGGAAUACCCUUCUCUCAUGCCUGACGUCACUUCCGCCUAAGGACUGGAAACACACUGGAAGGUUUUGACUGGAGUCCUGGCGGUGUUCCUCUUCCUGCUAUUCUUCCUCCUGCUCUGUCUCAUCCUCAUCCAACCGGCGUUGGUAUAAAAAGAAGGCUGAGGACGCGGCUGGAGCCGAGGGAAAUGGAAUCAGGACCCCACCUGAUGAGGACAUGCAAGGGAUCGUGUAUGCCCAGGUGAAACCCUCCAGGCUUCGGAUGGACACAACAUCCAAAGAGACCCAGGCUGUCAUCUACGCCCAGCUGAGCAGCCGGACACAGGAAGAGAACCACAGCUGAGACCAGCAGCCAGCCAUCCUGGGAAGAAGGCCCACACCCCACAUCCCACGAAUGAGAAUGAGGGAUUUUCUGAGAAGACAUUUGUUCUCAGUGGACUUGGUUUGACAGAUGGGAGCCAUCAUGACUCCCUCAGGUGUCAUCAGAAGCUUCUCAGAAUUGUGGGAAUGUGCUUCUUACCCUUUCAGAGGCAACAAAAGUCCUCAUGUCUUUUAAAUCAAGCCAAACCCUUCUCAAAAAAUGCCACACCAGCUCCAGUGGAGUCUGUGUAACAUGGCAGAAGUCAUGUUGUCAAGCCAGAGCUGUGUGUGUUCCUCGGAAAUUAGCCCCACGAGGUCCCUGGCUUCCUGCUUCUGCAAGCUGUUCGAGAGCAUUGGACAAAUUCUGUGGAUUUGGGUGCUGUGCCUUGUUUUUCUGUGCUUAGAGUUAAGUGGGAGGGAAAUGAGACAUGUGGAGAUGUAAUGAAUCAGGUACAACGGGAAGAGUUGUUUGUGAAAAAUCCAGACAUAGUGGAUGGUGAAAGAAUCAAAGUUCAACAACUGGUAGGGAAAGGACAGGACGGUGUGUCAGAAGUUAAGGAAGAUAGUGUGAGAAUUCUAACAACAAUAAUGUACAGUAGGAAGUGUUACUUACUCAGAGGAAGCAUUACUUACUCCAGUAAAUAGGGAAACUCCACAGAGGCUCAGGACAACAGCCCCUCCUAUGCCACAUACAGGAGUUCACACCGUGUUCCUAACUGGCCUGACUGGCAAUAUAAUAUUAAUGAAAUUUACAAGCUAGAGCAAAUUUUCUCAGACUGCAGCUUGGUAGAAUUCUUAGAGUGACCUCAAGUUUGUGAUGAUUCACCACUUUCUGGUUGACAACAAGGUUCCAAAAUACACUUCCUGCUCUGUCCUUUUUAGUUUCAAGUUACCAAGCAAACAUGUAACCACCCCCCCCCCAUAUGAUCAUCACCUGAUACAACCUGGCAUGAAGUCAAAAAGUAGUUCCUAAAUCAUGUGUCUAUAUCUGAGAUGUUUGCAGAAGAAAGAUUGCAGCAGCUUUUUGGUGUGUUGUGUCUGUCACUAAUUACUUACCUGAGUACUGAUACCCUGCUUCUCCCACAGGAGGAGACAGGACUGGGUCUCUCCUUGGAAAGAGAGCUUGUCUGUCUAAGCCUGGAAGAUUAGAGGGACAAUUAAAGAGGCCCUUUUGUCAUGGAAGGUCUCAGAGUAUAUUCAGGAAGUACAUCUUGCUGACACCUGACUACUUACAAGGAAGGCUACAGGGGAUUGACUGGCAUGACCUUGUUAGACACAGAAUGAGAUGGAAAGGGACAGCACCAACAUGCAUGGGCCUCCAGGAGUGUUGAUAGUUGAUGUGUGUGUAAAUCAUCUUCAUAUAUAAUGUGCAUAUUUUUAUAUUCCUCCUUUGAGGAAUGUCCUUCUUGUUAAUGUUAAUGACUCCAUGAUAAUCAAAGCUAGCAGGAGUACAGAGACAAGGGAUGGCUAAUUUCUCAGCAAUUGGUAAAGUCUGGGACCUUCUGGACAGCCUUUUAGACAAUGGGAAUUGCUUUAAAAAUAUGACUUGGAAAAUAGAAAAUUUCUCAACUAUGUGAAAAUAUCAGGGGGCAAUAUAAAUUGUAUAAGAGGUUUCAUUAAAGUAAAGUAAC
Long non-coding RNA from Apodemus sylvaticus (European woodmouse), 2108 nucleotides. RefSeq lists it as uncharacterized. NCBI's taxonomy places the organism in Eukaryota, Metazoa, Chordata, Mammalia, Rodentia, Muridae. The record is from RefSeq and is a predicted model, not a curated record. The transcript has 3 exons.